This is a transfer RNA of Ophiostoma piceae, 100 nucleotides long. It matches the Rfam family "tRNA". Rfam says of the family: Transfer RNA (tRNA) molecules are approximately 80 nucleotides in length. Their secondary structure includes four short double-helical elements and three loops (D, anti-codon, and T loops). Further hydrogen bonds mediate the characteristic L-shaped molecular structure. tRNAs have two regions of fundamental functional importance: the anti-codon, which is responsible for specific mRNA codon recognition, and the 3' end, to which the tRNAs corresponding amino acid is attached (by aminoacyl-tRNA synthetases). tRNAs cope with the degeneracy of the genetic code in two manners: having more than one tRNA (with a specific anti-codon) for a particular amino acid; and 'wobble' base-pairing, i.e. permitting non-standard base-pairing at the 3rd anti-codon position. NCBI's taxonomy places the organism in Eukaryota, Fungi, Ascomycota, Sordariomycetes, Ophiostomatales, Ophiostomataceae. The record is from Rfam.
GCCCGUAUAGCUCAGUGGUAGAGCGUAUCACUUGUAUUUCUAGAAAUAGAAGUCAUCUUAUGAGAUGCUAAGGUCCAUGGUUCAAUCCCAUGUGCGGGCA